Molecule: long non-coding RNA, 347 nt
Organism: Cyprinodon tularosa
Lineage: Eukaryota; Metazoa; Chordata; Actinopteri; Cyprinodontiformes; Cyprinodontidae
Exons: 3
Source: RefSeq, a predicted model, not a curated record
CCUUCAGUGGAGAAGUAUCUAUGGAUAGUGGAUCUCUGUUGAUCUCUGUUGAUGUCCGAUGAUUCCUCCCCUUCUGAGGACUCCUGUUUAAUGGAGGUUGGGAUCAGGACACAUGGGGGCAACAGGACAGGUGCUGACCGGGGGGAUGCAAUGUUCCGUGGUCCACAGUAUCAUACGCCAGAGAGUCCGCUAGCAGGAGGACCGAGGGCCAGGCGGUUCCUGAGAGGGGAAAGGUCUAAUUCCUGCUCCUCACCUAGCACAGCCACCAACACAUAUAGGUCUCCAGUGCUUCAGCGCCAGGCUAUGUUUGCCAGUAGCUGUUCCCAGCUUGAAGCAAUAGGAAAUUC